Molecule: ribosomal RNA, 252 nt
Filed under: uncultured bacterium
Lineage: Bacteria
Description: partial 16S ribosomal RNA
Rfam family: Bacterial small subunit ribosomal RNA
Source: RNAcentral
UACGGGGGGGCAAGCGUUGUUCGGAAUUACUGGGCGUAAAGGGCGCGUAGGCGGCCUGCUAAGUCGGAUGUGAAAUCCCUCGGCUCAACCGAGGAACUGCAUCCGAUACUGGCGGGCUUGAAUCCGGGAGAGGGAUGUGGAAUUCCAGGUGUAGCGGUGAAAUGCGUAGAUAUCUGGAGGAACACCGGUGGCGAAGGCGGCAUCCUGGACCGGUAUUGACGCUGAGGCGCGAAAGCUAGGGGAGCAAACGGG